RNAcentral lists this transfer RNA (74 nucleotides) under Bacteroidia bacterium. Its description in RNAcentral is "tRNA-Arg". It matches the Rfam family "tRNA". Rfam says of the family: Transfer RNA (tRNA) molecules are approximately 80 nucleotides in length. Their secondary structure includes four short double-helical elements and three loops (D, anti-codon, and T loops). Lineage: Bacteria; Pseudomonadati; Bacteroidota; Bacteroidia. The record is from RNAcentral.
GGUUCCGUAGCUCAGUUGGAUAGAGCAACAGCCUUCUAAGCUGUGGGUCCUUGGUUCGAAUCCAAGCGGAAUCA